Uloborus diversus is the source of this 87-nucleotide non-coding RNA. Lineage: Eukaryota; Metazoa; Arthropoda; Arachnida; Araneae; Uloboridae. The record is from the annotation of a RefSeq genome assembly.
GACCAGAUCAUCAUCGGUGGUCCGGUGCGCGGGCUUCAAACCAGUAGCUAAUAAGAGUUAGAGUGGUUUGAUUCCACCCUCUGGGUG